GUGCGUUUUAUUGGUAGUAAGUAUUUUCGCUGCUGCUGCAAAAUUCACAAAUUUCAAUAUUUCGAAAAAAAAAAAAAAAGAUAUAACCGGAUUUUAUAAUAUAGAUAGAAGAUAUGAUACGGAGCCUAUAUUUCCAUCUAUCGAUAACACUAAUUGUACAUUCAAAUGGGACUUGGAGCAGGUAGCACUAUCCAUCAAAUCUUUUACUGUCAUACAAGCCACUGAUGCAAGAAAGUUACGAAUCGAAACUUGUAAAAAAGUUUUGUUGCUUUUGGAUAUAUUUGAAUUUACUAAUUUAUAACUGAUUUUUCUUUUUUAUCUCUAAAUUUUAAUUUGUGUUUAUGGAGAACGCCUCCAUAGUCCCGCUUGUACAAUAUAAAAAUUAUUGGAUAAAAUGGCGGAAUUAAAUAGGCGUUCCAUAAACUAUCCUUUUUAUAACUUUUCGUAUGUUUCCAUUAAGCUGUUUUAACGAUAAUUUUGCUUAUUUUAGUCACUAAAUUACUGUCGAAAAUUAGUUUUGCCUUUGCACGGUAUAAAUGAGGAAAAAAUUGAAAAUGGCCUUUAAUAACCAAGAUCGAACCGAAUGGGAUGCAAGGAGAGAAUAUAAUUGUGGUACCUGGAAUAGUUCAUUGCGCAGGGGUUUGGAAGAAUGGAGAAAUACAGGGGAGAGCGGACGUCAUAUGGCCCCGUGAUGGAGUUGUCCUGUAUAGUAGCUCCGCUCUGCAGGAAAAGCAUCACCAGCCUGCCAAGUGUUUGGGUCGAUGGUCCCGCUGUCUUCCUCUCUCGUCAUAGUUUCGGCCCCUCGGGGGGUUUGGUCGCUGGGACAACCCUUAGUUUCGGCGUUCUCUGACACCUCGUCACGUGUGCGACUUGUGACUGCAGAUCUUUUUUUUUUCCGUCUAGUCACGUAUACUAGUAGUGGAAACAGAGUCGAGAAGCUUAUUCUGCCUCGAGUUUAUUUGAGUAUAAAAUGUGUGUAACGCAAUAGUGGGCGCUUCUUCAUUGUUGUGUUCUUAAAAUUGUCCUAAAAUACCGCCGUGACUUUAACCAUUUUAUUGUAACUUGGGAAAAUCUGUAGAUUGUAAGAUUCGUUUUUUGCUGAACUAGCAUAGCUAUUGUGAGAUACUAAAGGUAAUCCUUUCUACCUGAGCUAUAAGAAACUGUUCUUUUUAAAGUUCUCGGUUAUGGUUAGACGUGAUAUUGAAGCCCUAUUUACAUUGCAGGACAAAAAUGGGUGGGUAGAGAAUAGAGCGGGACUAGUUCGGGGUAGAUACGUAUGAGUCAGCGCCAGCUUUUAUCGACCAGUUAGGGAUUCCAGCAAUAUGGGAGCCCAAGUUAGAUUAUUCUACAUCACAUUCGUAAGUUUAAAAACUCUGAAAAUAUCCCUAUCUAGCUGCUAAGUAAAGACCAAUAGUUAACUAAAUAGCAAAAUACGCUUUUCUUUAAUGCAGAAAGAAAAAAAAAAG
This 1466-nucleotide long non-coding RNA is filed under the name Androctonus crassicauda. Lineage: Eukaryota; Metazoa; Arthropoda; Arachnida; Scorpiones; Buthidae. The record is from RNAcentral.